Molecule: ribosomal RNA, 456 nt
Filed under: uncultured bacterium
Lineage: Bacteria
Description: bacterial SSU rRNA
Rfam family: Bacterial small subunit ribosomal RNA
Source: RNAcentral
UACGGGAGGCAGCAGUGGGGAAUAUUGCACAAUGGGCGCAAGCCUGAUGCAGCCAUGCCGCGUGUAUGAAAAAGGCCUUCGGGUUGUAAAGUACUUUCAGUCGUGAGGAAGGUGUUAAGGUUAAUAACCUUAGCAAUUGACGUUAGCGACAGAAGAAGCACCGGCUAACUCCGUGCCAGCAGCCGCGGUAAUACGGAGGGUGCGAGCGUUAAUCGGAAUUACUGGGCUAAAGGGCACGCAGGCGGUUAAUUAAGUUGGAUGUGAAAUCCCCGGGCUUAACCUGGGAAUGGCAUUCAAGACUGGUUAGCUAGAGUCUUGUAGAGGGGGUUAGAAUUCCAUGUGUAGCGGUGAAAUGCGUAGAGAUGUGGAGGAAUACCGGUGGCGAAGGCGGCCCCUGGACAAAGACUGACGCUCAUGUGCGAAAGCGUGGGGAGCAAACAGGGAUUAGAUACCCGU